AUCAAAUAUUCUAUAAAAUAUAAAUACACUGAACUCAUUUGGAUAUAUUUAAGUGAGACUCGACAAUAUUGUUUGACACAAAUCUAUCUAAAUCAAAAUUUUAAUCAUUUUCACGCCAAACAUUUACUGGACUGAUUUAAAUAUUCAAAUCACUCCUUUCUAAUCCUCUGCUGUACGUUCAAACCUGAGGCCUUAAACAGAAACACACAAGUAUCUGUUUGAAGGAACUUCUGCAGAGUCCUGGUUCCAGAACAUGAUGAUAGAAUUAUAGACAAACUUUAACAAAAGCUGCCUGAGAGUUUACAGGUUUUUAUGUUAGAUUUCUUCAGUAAUUUAAUGAGAGUUAUCAGCAAAAAUCAAGUGUUCAUUUGAUGAACUUCAUUUCCUAAAACAUCCAGAAUUGGAGCUCAUAUCUUUGGCAGCUGUAAAGUUUCUGCUCCUUCAAAGUUCACAACACAAUGAAUGAAUUCCUAAAACACUCUCAAUGCUGGAGAGCGUUUGUGAUGCUGAAGCAGUGAGCAGUUUUUCUGUUUCUUCUCUGGAGAUGCACAAUGAGGGACGUCUGCAGAGACUGAGAAAGAGUCUCACCACAUCCUGACAUGAGGAAAAAGACUUUAUUGAAGACUACAAUGAGAAAAACUAUCAGACAGCAGACGGCUGCAUUCAAGAAGACCAUCAAACAUCCACGUCAGCUGAUGGAGGUCCAAGAGUCUCACCCAACAAACAACCUACAGAGUGAAGACCUCGAACCUGAUUGGACGGCCUCCUAUUCAGCCACAUGUGUGAACAAAUGCCUCUAAGCUGAUUGGUUUUCUAAAAUAAAUCUAGUUUGAAUCCUAAUCUAUGCCUGAGUGUUUGCUCCUUUACACCGCUGUUAACAGUUUAGGCUGUUAGAUUUUUGCAGAUAAGACAAGUACAAGAUACUCCAGAGCUGUUCUACCACGACGAGCCUGACAGGAAGAA
Amphiprion ocellaris (clown anemonefish) is the source of this 963-nucleotide long non-coding RNA. NCBI's taxonomy places the organism in Eukaryota, Metazoa, Chordata, Actinopteri, Pomacentridae. The record is from Ensembl.